ACCGGCAAACGGGUGCGGAACACGUACAGAACCUUCCUUCGAGCGGGGAAUAGCCCAGAGAAAUUUGGAUUAAUACCCCAUAGGAUAGUGGAGUGGCAUCACUCAGCUAUUAAAGAUUUAUCACUUGAAGAUGGCUGUGCGUCUGAUUAGGUAGUUGGCGGGGUAACGGCCCACCAAGCCUGCGAUCAGUAACUGGUGUGAGAGCACGACCAGUCACACGGGCACUGAGACACGGGCCCGACUCCUACGGGAGGCAGCAGUAAGGAAUAUUGGUCAAUGGACGCAAGUCUGAACCAGCCAUGCCGCGUGGAGGAUGAAGGUCCUCUGGAUUGUAAACUUCUUUUAUCUGGGACGAAAAAAGGCCUUUCUAGGUCGACUGACGGUACCAGAUGAAUAAGCACCGGCUAACUCCGUGCCAGCAGCCGCGGUAAUACGGAGGGUGCAAGCGUUAUCCGGAUUCACUGGGUUUAAAGGGUGCGUAGGCGGGCAUGUAAGUCCGUGGUGAAAUCUCCGAGCUUAACUCGGAAACUGCCAUGGAUACUAUGUGUCUUGAAUGUUGUGGAGGUGAGCGGAAUAUGUCAUGUAGCGGUGAAAUGCUUAGAUAUGACAUAGAACACCAAUUGCGAAGGCAGCUCACUACACAAAUAUUGACGCUGAGGCACGAAAGCGUGGGGAUCAAACAGGAUUAGAUACCCUGGUAGUCCACGCCCU
This 711-nucleotide ribosomal RNA is filed under the name uncultured Flavihumibacter sp. Its description in RNAcentral is "bacterial SSU rRNA". It matches the Rfam family "Bacterial small subunit ribosomal RNA", at positions 94 to 803 of the family's 1533-position model. The record is from RNAcentral. Lineage: Bacteria; Pseudomonadati; Bacteroidota; Chitinophagia; Chitinophagales; Chitinophagaceae.